UCGGGAAUUUUGGGCAAUGGGCGAAAGCCUGACCCAGCAACGCCGCGUGAGGGAUGAAGUAUUUCGGUAUGUAAACCUCGAAAGAAUGGGAAGAAUAAAUGACGGUACCAUUUAUAAGCUCCGGCUAACUACGUGCCAGCAGCCGCGGUAAUACGUAGGGAGCAAGCGUUGUUCGGAUUUACUGGGCGUAAAGGGCGCGUAGGCGGCGCGGUAAGUCACUUGUGAAAUCUCUGAGCUUAACUCAGAACGGCCAAGUGAUACUGCUGUGCUAGAGUGCGGAAGAGGCAACCGGAAUUCUUGGUGUAGCGGUGAAAUGCGUAGAUAUCAAGAGGAACACCUGAGGCGAAGGCGGGUUGCUGGGCCGACACUGACGCUGAUGCGCGAAGGCCAGGGGAGCAAACG
This 402-nucleotide ribosomal RNA is filed under the name uncultured bacterium. RNAcentral's name for it is "bacterial SSU rRNA". It matches the Rfam family "Bacterial small subunit ribosomal RNA", at positions 355 to 774 of the family's 1533-position model. The record is from RNAcentral.